UCCCUGGUGGUCUAGUGGUUAAGGCUCUGCCUUCUAAUGCAGGGGGUAUGGGUUUGAUCCCUAGUCAGGGAA
Molecule: transfer RNA, 72 nt
Filed under: Bos taurus (domestic cattle)
Lineage: Eukaryota; Metazoa; Chordata; Mammalia; Artiodactyla; Bovidae
Also listed under: 5 other names
Rfam family: tRNA
About the family: Transfer RNA (tRNA) molecules are approximately 80 nucleotides in length.
Source: Rfam by way of RNAcentral